RNAcentral lists this long non-coding RNA (1794 nucleotides) under Neodiprion lecontei (redheaded pine sawfly). Its description in RNAcentral is "uncharacterized LOC124293508". The record is from RNAcentral. Lineage: Eukaryota; Metazoa; Arthropoda; Insecta; Hymenoptera; Diprionidae.
UAAGCGAGAUCCGUAGUAUAAACGUGUGGUAAAAUCCAUUAUAUUUCUAGUCUCAUGAACAGCUAAUAUACAUAUUUUAUUCCUUCACCAGUAACACAAGUUUAACGUUUCGUAUAGUUACCAUACCUUGCCAAUAUGUUCUCAUUAAUUGUUUAAUAAUUAAGUCAAUACACUUUUGAUCUACUGAUCACAUGUAAUACGUGAAAAUUACGUCGUACAUAGACUUGUCAUAUCGAUACACAGAAUUAUAUACCUACUCGGGCCGAAACGUAAACAAGAUUUGUUUCGUACCUUUCUGACCUUCAUAUCCAAGAAUACUACCCUUUUCAACAUAGUGAGGGCAGGAAUCAACUUUUACAUCAUUUACUUACAUAUUGCGAUGUUUGAAUUUGGAACUAUAAUCAUUAUAUUCAAGUUUUUCUCAUGUUAGCAGUGACUAAAAUUCAACGUUUUGUUAUCCUCCUCAGCACGUUUUUCUGAUUACCUUAAAUUUUGUAAACAACUGGUCAUUCGAUUUCCAAUCUUUUUUUUCAUUCGAUAAACUAGUAAGUAUCAUCAAAAAUAUGAAAAAAUUCAGGUGACAUAACACUAGAAGUGAUAAUUUUAUUCUACGUAAUAUUGUAAAGUAGAACAAUAUGUUACCUCCAUUUUUUCAAAUUCUUUUCCUUGUGUUAUUGUUAAUUCCCUAACAUAGGAAAAAAAGUUGAAAAAUCGAUGAACAGAUUUUUUUACAAAGGUCACCAAGAAAUUACGUAGUUGAGCAUAUAAGUGCAUCCCUUCGCGGCGUCUUUAUUAAUUGUAAAACAUACGUUUUCCUAUACCAUAAUGUAUAUAUUGGAAUAACCCAUGCUAGGAAAGCGAGUGGCCGUAGAUGAAGCUCGUGUACCAUGGAUGUUACAUAUACGUAUAAUGAGCGCAUGUAUCAAACGACAAGCGGUCGCGAAGAAUCGAGAAUGUCCGAGCGUGAAAUACUCGCGCCUCUUCUUCUGCCUCUGAUUGGCUCGCUAGGUCAGCGUGUUGUAACUCGUACGGUUCCUGCACGCUGAGAGCCGAGGACGACGCGUCAGAAUGCCCCCCCCCCACCGUUCGCGAAGGCUCUCAGCUCACGCGAUCAGUGAAUCAGUCUAAUUUGACCAACUUCCGAGGUCAGUGCACGUCCGUGUUUAUGUGAGCCUUCAUAAGCUGGUAUUUGACGGAUUAGCAGUGAUAUCGAGGAAGUGAAUGCUCCAGCUGCGGUCGAAUAAUAAUUAAAACUUAUGCGUACUGCGUACCUAGACAACGCUUUCUAUAGCGUCUGUGUUCUUUUUUGAAAUAAUGUGCCAAUACUUUUUAUUAUUUUACUUUGUCAGGAUUGUGAUUUUUUACCUAGUCCCGAGAUGAAAGUUAACAAUUUUCCUCGUUAGGGUAUAAUCAUUGUAUGAUUAUUUUGUUUCAUGUUUUAUUUGUUAUCAAACCUCUUGUAUCGGAUAUAAGUUUUUGUUUGUUCAUGUUCACUUAAUUUUACUAUUUGCUAUACUUCUAUACUCUUGUGAGUACAUCUGUACAAUUGAGGUAUGCGUAUAUGUAAAAGACUGUAUGUUUAUUUAUACAUCCCAGUCAACAUUCACACAGUUACAUCGUUGGCAUAAUAAAAUGUCCGCAUCAACGAUACAGACAAACUGGUAUAUAAAAAACUACUGUUAUGUUUCGGAUACAUUGUUAAAGCGGAUAUUUCGAUACGUGUGCAAUGUAACUAUUGUCAUUGUUGCCUUGGAUGAAAGUACCUUAUAAUAAAUAUAUAUCAUGUUUCGCAAA